This 200-nucleotide unclassified non-coding RNA is filed under the name Fusarium sp. Its description in RNAcentral is "partial internal transcribed spacer 2". The record is from RNAcentral. Lineage: Eukaryota; Fungi; Ascomycota; Sordariomycetes; Hypocreales; Nectriaceae.
UUAAGUUCAGCGGGUAUUCCUACCUGAUCCGAGGUCAACAUUCAGAAGUUGGGGGUUUAACGGCUUGGCCGCGCCGCGUUCCAGUUGCGAGGGUUUUACUACUACGCAAUGGAGGCUGCAGCGAGACCGCCACUAGAUUUCGGGGCGGCUUGCCAGAAAGGCUCGCCGAUCCCCAACACCAAACCCGAGGGCUUGAGGGU